UGUUUACAGAGCUGAUAUUUAACUGUUUCUAUUUGGCUGCAUUUUAUUGUCACAUUUGUGACAUGCAGUUAGUUGUGCCUUUAAUAGAACUUUGAAUAUGGGAAUGUUAUUGAAGCGUUCAUUAAAAUGUUUGUUUCUAGGGACAGGAUCUGCCAACUCUACAUGACUGAAUCUCUGUAAUUCUUUCUUUGGCAAACCCAAUUCCACUCUCUCAAAGUAAGCAGAGGUAAUGUCUCAGAAUGAGGCCAAAGGUUGCUAAAAAUUAUCAGCAAUAAGUUCUUGACCUUUUCUUUCAGCUUCUGGGAUAACCUUUGUCAUCCACAACCAUGAACCUAGAUUUUUGACAUGCCAGUUUUUAACUUUGUUGUUUCCUUUUUUUUUUUUUUUCUAGGAAGAAUCCAUAUGAAGGAAAGAGUUUUGAAUUAAUAGAAGACUUCAGUUAAGCUUACCUCCAUUGGGAGCUAAAUCCUCUACACCAAAGAUAAAAGGUCAGCUCUUUGUACAGCAAGGGUUGGGUGAACCUGUAUCCUCUACCCAUAUCAUAUUACAGAUUGAGGAAGUUCAGCACUUGAGAGGAGCACUGUGUUCUACCAUCUAGAAACAGGAAAGAAACCUGUAUGGUGUGGCAGUAAAUGCAAUUUGUAGAAGUAAACAUCAGAGGAGGAAUGUUCCUUUAAUACACUGCAUUAGUUUAUACAGCAUUUUAUAAAGUAUGUCUUAAAAACAUGCUGAGUGAAAAAUUUUAUUCCAAAAUUAAAUAAAAUCUAAUGGAUCAGUUCA
This 780-nucleotide long non-coding RNA is filed under the name Anas platyrhynchos platyrhynchos (common mallard). RNAcentral describes it as "lncRNA (ENSAPLG00000029027.1)". Lineage: Eukaryota; Metazoa; Chordata; Aves; Anseriformes; Anatidae. The record is from RNAcentral.